Long non-coding RNA from Lycium barbarum (goji berry), 588 nucleotides. RefSeq lists it as uncharacterized. Lineage: Eukaryota; Viridiplantae; Streptophyta; Magnoliopsida; Solanales; Solanaceae. The record is from RefSeq and is a predicted model, not a curated record. The transcript is spliced from 3 exons.
UUGAGCAGCUUAUGAUUUACUCUUGAGGAAGCAACAAUAUUUCGUUCUCUUUUAGUAAGGGGACAGAUUUCGUUCCCUUUAACAAAAGAAAGAUAUGAAGCGCUACGAUUGUGGUAAACUCAAAAGACGACAUAAAGAUUAUAUCCAUGUCAUUUUCCUCCGAGUGAUAAUAAAUUGGAGAUUUCUUCGAAGUGAAGUAAGAUUGAGGAAGAGUAGUUCUCGGCAUAUAAGGCUAAAGGGGCGAAGAAGCGAGCUUGGUUAUGGUUAACCUGAGAAGCGACAAGGGGGGCUGCGUUUCGUGCCCGCAGGUACAAAUAGUCGGUUUGGUGACCCUUCAGCAUAGGACUUCUACUCAGUUGUCUCGGAGAGCUCCGUUGUUCCGGAGUUUAGACUUUUGGUACAGAUCUUAUGAUAUAUAUAUGUAUGGUUAUCCAGGGGUACGGCGGGGCCCUGUCCCGUCAUAUUUCACUGUUGAUACUCUUAGAGGUCUGUAGACAUAUGUGUGGGUUGUGUAUAAGUUCUGUUCAGCUGUGUCUAUACGAUGUGCUAUGAUAUGAUGUCUGUCUGUAGUGGCAGCCUUGUUGGCUG